GGAGCGGUAGCUUAGACGGCAAAGCGCCCGGCUGAAGACCGGGAGAGAUGGGUUCGAGCACCAUCUGCUCCA
This 72-nucleotide transfer RNA is filed under the name Planctomycetota bacterium. Its description in RNAcentral is "Planctomycetes bacterium tRNA-Phe". It matches the Rfam family "tRNA". Rfam says of the family: Transfer RNA (tRNA) molecules are approximately 80 nucleotides in length. Their secondary structure includes four short double-helical elements and three loops (D, anti-codon, and T loops). Further hydrogen bonds mediate the characteristic L-shaped molecular structure. tRNAs have two regions of fundamental functional importance: the anti-codon, which is responsible for specific mRNA codon recognition, and the 3' end, to which the tRNAs corresponding amino acid is attached (by aminoacyl-tRNA synthetases). tRNAs cope with the degeneracy of the genetic code in two manners: having more than one tRNA (with a specific anti-codon) for a particular amino acid; and 'wobble' base-pairing, i.e. permitting non-standard base-pairing at the 3rd anti-codon position. Lineage: Bacteria; Pseudomonadati; Planctomycetota. The record is from RNAcentral.